RNAcentral lists this non-coding RNA (27 nucleotides) under Mus musculus (house mouse). The record is from RNAcentral. Lineage: Eukaryota; Metazoa; Chordata; Mammalia; Rodentia; Muridae. RNAcentral also lists the same sequence under 3 other names.
CAAGAAGUAGUUUAAUUAGAAUAUCAG